ACGGGAGGCAGCAGUGGGGAAUAUUGCGCAAUGGGGGCAACCCUGACGCAGCAACGCCGCGUGAUUGAAGAAGGUCUUCGGAUUGUAAAAAUCUUUAAUCAGGGACGAAGAAAAUGACGGUACCUGAAGAAUAAGCUCCGGCUAACUACGUGCCAGCAGCCGCGGUAAUACGUAGGGAGCAAGCGUUAUCCGGAUUUACUGGGUGUAAAGGGCGUGUAGGCGGGCCUGUAAGUUGGGAGUGAAAUCCGGGGGCUUAACCCCCGAACUGCUUUCAAAACUGCGGGUCUUGAGUGAUGGAGAGGCAGGCGGAAUUCCCAGUGUAGCGGUGAAAUGCGUAGAUAUUGGGAGGAACACCAGUGGCGAAGGCGGCCUGCUGGACAUUAACUGACGCUGAGGCGCGAAAGCGUGGGGAGCAAACAGGAUUAGAUACCCUGGUA
Molecule: ribosomal RNA, 437 nt
Filed under: uncultured Oscillospiraceae bacterium
Lineage: Bacteria; Bacillati; Bacillota; Clostridia; Eubacteriales; Oscillospiraceae
Description: bacterial SSU rRNA
Rfam family: Bacterial small subunit ribosomal RNA
Source: RNAcentral